UCGUUUAUGGGUUCAACUGUGAGAUGCUCUUCUAUAACGGAAUCCACAGAGACAAGGUCAUCCACAAUGGUCAUCAUGAUCUGCAAUUUCUUUAUCCCAUAACCAACUGGAGCCAAUUUUGCUGCAACAAAUCCAUAGCACAACUAUUAACCAAGCAUUCAGUUGUCAAGGUCAGCAUAAGAAUAUAAGAAUGGUCAAUUUCGGUUUGAAGGGGGGAAAAAGGGUGUUUAAAUUAAUAAUCAAACCAUACAUGCUCCCCACAAGAGGCCUGGCAUCUCAAUACUGCGAACAGCCUCUUCCAGCUUCUUCAUGUCUGUCUCAUCAUCCCAAGGUUUCACAUCCAAAAGAACAGACGAUUUUCCAC
This 364-nucleotide long non-coding RNA is filed under the name Vitis vinifera (wine grape). Its description in RNAcentral is "long non-coding RNA (VVIN_LNC001884)". The record is from RNAcentral. Lineage: Eukaryota; Viridiplantae; Streptophyta; Magnoliopsida; Vitales; Vitaceae.